AAAAUUAUUUUCCCCUCCCUGAACGCACCCGAUCUCAUCUGAUCUUGGAAGCUAAGCAGGGUCGUGCUUGGUUAGUACUUGGAUGGGAGACCGCCUUGGAAUACCGGGUGCUGUAUGCU
This is a ribosomal RNA of Callithrix jacchus (white-tufted-ear marmoset), 119 nucleotides long. Lineage: Eukaryota; Metazoa; Chordata; Mammalia; Primates; Cebidae. The record is from Ensembl.